RNAcentral lists this ribosomal RNA (376 nucleotides) under uncultured organism. Its description in RNAcentral is "partial 16S ribosomal RNA". It matches the Rfam family "Bacterial small subunit ribosomal RNA", at positions 527 to 896 of the family's 1533-position model. The record is from RNAcentral.
GUAGGUGGCAAGCGUUGUCCGGAAUUAUUGGGCGUAAAGCGCGCGCAGGUGGUUCUUUAAGUCUGAUGUGAAAGCCCCCCGGGCUCAACCCGGGGGAGGGUCAUUGGAAACUGGGGAACUUGAGUGCAGGAGAGGAAAGUGGAAUUCCACGUGUAGCGGUGAAAUGCGUAGAUAUGUGGAGGAACACCAGUGGCGAAGGCGACUUUCUGGCCUGUAACUGACACUGAGGCGCGAAAGCGUGGGGAGCAAACAGGAUUAGAUACCCUGGCAGUCCACGCCGUAAACGAUGAGUGCUAAGUGUUGGGGGGUUUCCGCCCCUCAGUGCUGCAGCUAACGCAUUAAGCACUCCGCCUGGGGAGUACGGUCGCAAAGACUG